CGCUCCUUGAUUUUAAUUAAUAAGGAGUCGGGCCUGCCCAGUGAUAAGUAUUUAACGGCCGCGGUACUCUGACCGUGCAAAGGUAGCAUAAUCAUUUGCCCUAUAAUUGAGGGCUAGUAUGAAUGGUUUGACAAGAACAGUACUGUCUCUUUCAAAANUUUCUAGAAUUUAUUCUUUAGGUGAAGAAACCUAAAUAAAAUUAAAAGACAAGAAGACCCUAUCGAGCUUAAACUCUUUUUAUAAAAUAAAAAAAAUUAAUAAUAUUUUUUGUUAUAAAAAAUUUUGGUUGGGGCGACUAAGGAACAAAAAAAGCUUCUUUAUUUAAUAAAGACAAAUGCGUAUUGAUCCAUAAAANUCUUGAUUAAAAGAAUUAGUUACCGUAGGGAUAACAGCAUAAUCUUUUUUAAGAGUUCUUAUCGAAAAAAAGGUUUGUGACCUCGAUGUUGGACUAAAAUUUCCUAAUAGAUGCAGACGUCUUUAAGGG
Molecule: ribosomal RNA, 484 nt
Filed under: Melarhaphe neritoides
Lineage: Eukaryota; Metazoa; Mollusca; Gastropoda; Littorinimorpha; Littorinidae
Description: partial 16S ribosomal RNA
Rfam family: Bacterial large subunit ribosomal RNA
Source: RNAcentral